CCCUUAGACGUUCUGGGCCGCACGCGCGCUACACUGACCAGUGCAACAAGCAUCCGUCCUUGGCCGACAGGCCCGGGCAAUCUUUGAACGCUGGUCGUGAUGGGGAUAGACUUUUGCAAUUUUUGGUCUUCAACGAGGAAUUCCUAGUAAACGCAAGUCAUCAACUUGCAUUGAUUACGUCCCUGCUCUUUGUACACACCGCCCGUCGCACCUACCGAUUGAAUGGUCCGGUGAAGCCUCCGGAUUGGCGCGCACCUCGGUGCCGCCGAGAAGUUGGCUAAACCUUACCAUUUAGAGGAAGGUGAANUCGUAACA
This 315-nucleotide ribosomal RNA is filed under the name uncultured eukaryote. Its description in RNAcentral is "partial 18S ribosomal RNA". It matches the Rfam family "Eukaryotic small subunit ribosomal RNA", at positions 1470 to 1796 of the family's 1831-position model. The record is from RNAcentral.